AUGAGAAAACUGAGGCCCAGCAAGGCAAAAGGACUUACCCAAGGUCAAACAAAGAGUGGAAGAGCUAGAAAUCGAGCCUUUGUUUCCUGAUAUAAGGAAAAGAAGAGCUUGGACAAACCACAGAGUUCGUCUUAGAACCCCUGAUUUUUACAAAGAAGAAAAAUGAACCCUCGAGAGGAGGAAGACACUGAAGCCUGGACAACUUGGUCACUCAAUCAGGAAAAAAGUAGCACAUCAGGAUUAGAAUCUGAGUCUUUUAACACCCAGGCUGGGGCUAUUUCUGCGAAACCAUCAACAGAGGAGGGCAUUUAAUUUAUCUGUUUUCCUUUGGGUCAUCCAGUUGCUGAAGAUAGCCAGAGUGAGCCCUUGACUAAGCUCAUCUCAUGGUUUUUUGCCCUUCUGUUUGGUCCAUUAGGGUCUUUCUUCCUUUUUAAGGGAAGAAACGCAUAUACUUGGCAUGAAAUCAUCAUGAAAUUCAUCAUGCUGGCAGAAAGAUGCUCUGUGAUUAUUAAUUCAUAUUGUUCUCUGUUCUCCAUCCCAUUGAAAAUCAAGACCUCAGACUGAGAAGGGAGUCCAUUUGCAUAAUAUUUUGAAUGUCAGUAAACACAUCUGUCAAUUCUUAGAGCAUAACAAAAUGCAGUCAUACUGUGCACUCAAGGAGUCUUCCAACCAUAUGGUUUGGGAGUCCCACUGUGAAAUCUGAUUACCACAUUAAGCUAAUUGACUUGAAAGAAUGGAG
Molecule: long non-coding RNA, 739 nt
Filed under: Monodelphis domestica (gray short-tailed opossum)
Lineage: Eukaryota; Metazoa; Chordata; Mammalia; Didelphimorphia; Didelphidae
Description: lncRNA (ENSMODG00000046874.1)
Source: RNAcentral